GGCCACCUUGAGAAGCUGCGAAGAUGGCGGAGUAAGGCGUGCCGCUGCAAACUGGCCUCUGGGCCGGGGGCGAGCAGCCCCCGGGAGGCCGAGUGCAUCUGUUGGACCGUGCGAGGAGAAGAAAAAAAAUAUCGGCCAGAGGAGAGGAACUAACCGAACAUUCUUCCUCCCUACCUUAUAGAGGGGAGUGGUCAUCUACACUAAAGCAAAGUGUUAGGCGCGUCCGUGCGAAGAGACCACCAAACAGGCUUUGUGUUCCUUAUCACAGGAAGAAAAUUUUCCUUGACCUUUAGGUGCUUUUAUAUUCAUCUCAAAAACAAAAUUCUGAACUCAGGACUUGGCAAACGGAGUUUCACUCUGUUGCUCAGGCCAGAGUGCAGUGGCACAAUCUCAGAUCACUGCAACCUCUGCCUCCCGGGUUCAAGCAAUUCUCCUGCCUCAGCCUCCCGAGUAGCUGGAAUUACAGUCUCUCUCUGUUGCCCAGGCUGGAGUGAUGCGUGAUUUCUGCUCACUGCAGUCUCUCCCACCCGGGUUCAAGCGAUUCUCCUGCCUCAGCCUCCCAAGUAGCUAGGAUUACAGGCGCGCACCACCACGCUCAGCCUGAUUUCUAGGCUGAAAAGGCUGGGACUCAGGUACUUUCCCCAGUUGGGACUGAACUUUCUCAUCAGAGAAUGGGCCUCAGAAGCAAUGUUCCCAAACUUGUGGUUGGGUCAUCGUGGAAAAGAAACCUCAAAUAAGAAAAAUAAUUACAAUAAGAAAUGGAUUUUCUUUUUUCCCACAACAGUUAUACAUUAUAAAGAACAGACUGUCGUAGAAAACUGUCUUUGCUUCCAAAUCAGCAGAGGACCAUUGUAUGUAUUGUCAGGUCUUUAUAUAAGAGUGAAACCUUUAUUUAUGCUUCUUGUGAGUAGAGAAUAAAUUUUAAAACUAAUUAGAUGAAAUUAAGAACAGAGUAUUGGAACAUCUCUGUGUUUUCCGGAAUGUUUACUCAGGUCCAUGAAUGCUGUGAUGCUGGGAACUUAGGGAAGAUUCACCAAAAUUUGAGAGUGAUAAAAAUGGCCUAAAAUGGGAAAUGGUGAGCACUCUUAUUAUUAGUGAGAUUGGUCAAUCAGCCCAUUUGAAAUGGGUAAAAAAUACUUUCAGUAAAAUAAUUACAUAUUAUAUAUAAAAUAUUUCUUUUUUUGAGGGCAGCUACUGAGUGAUAAAAGCAUAGUAGAAAUCACUUUGGUUAAAAGUAACUCAAAUUUUUCUCUUAAGUAAUCUACCAACUUCCUGAUGUUUUUCUUUAAUAUUUUGGAACUGUUCAAGACAGAAUGGAGCCUACAUAUAUGGUGUUCCACUAGUAUGUUGAAAAUGUCAUAUCAUGGAGAAUGGAGACACCUUCCAGGUGUCUGUUAAACCCAUCUUCUCUGUGUACUUCUGGCAUCUUUUUUGGUAGGAUCAUUUGGCAGGGGGUAGAGUACCUGUACUUUUGGCACCAUUGAAACCAGCUCUGGCCCACUUGUUUGAAUAGCUAUCAGACUCAGCGUCUCUAUAUGCUUUAUAUACAGUUGAGAGAACCAGUGUUUAAUGCUCUUGAAAUUGUAUCUUCCAUGCUUCAGACCAGAUGCAUUUAACAAAAUGGAUAUAUUCCAGCUGUAGUUGCCCAGUGUUUACUUAACACAUCUACAUUUUUUUCUUGUCUAUUUUGGUCCCCUUGAUAGGAAAAGCUAUAAUUUUAGGCAGGACUAUACGUCGAUUUGUAGCCAUGCUUCCUUCCUUUCCCUUGCUCAUCCAUGUUAGCUGGCAGUUUUUCUUUUGAAAAGUUAAAACCGGGAUAUGUGCAAUAGAAAUAUAUAUAUAUAUAUGUAUAUUUUAAUACUUGUGGACAAAUGUUACAAGUUGUUUAAGAACAACAAAAUCACCAAUGUCUUCCAUUUUGAGAUGUGUAUAGUUUUGUAAGCAUUAGUGCUUGGUAGCAUAUUGUAGUGCCAUGUUAGGGGUUAGUGCAUGAGUCUAGUGAUUUUAAACUUCAGGAUGAAUUAUUGAUAAUAACAAAUAGUGUAAAAAGAGUGGAAAAUCUAAACCUUUUCUUUUUCCAUAAUGUCUAAAUCUGUUAUAUUCUUCCUGGGGAAAAGAGAUUAAGGCCCAAAAGACUCAUUUAUGAAUAGAAAUGUGGGGUCAAAAUCUGAGAUACUAUAUUUGAGGACAUUUCAGCUUUCCAUAAGGUAUCUGGAAACCAGCUGUCUUUGUGUCUUAUGAAACCUCAAGUCAAAAUGAGACCGCAUUUAAUUAUUCUGCUUUGCUCUUUUUUUGGGGUGGGGGGGAGAUAGAGUUUCACUCUGUCACCCAGGCUGGAGUGCAGUGGCACAAUCUUUGCUCACUGUAACCUCUGCCUCUUGGGUUCAAGUGAUUCUCGUGCCCCAGCCUCCCGAGUAGCUGGGACUACAGGCACGUGCCACCACGCCCAGCUAAUUUUUAUAUUUUUAGUAGAGACGGGGUUUUGCUGUGUUGGCCAGGCUGGUCUCAAACUCCUGACCUCAAGUAAUCCACCUGGCCUGCUCUUUUCAUGUCUUAACAUGGCAUGUCUUUUAGUUUCAUUAUUUUCCUACUCCUUGUAUGUCAAGAAAUUACAUUUUGCAUGUCUUAUGGAGAUGCUGUUAAUUGCUUCAGUGAGUGCUUUUCUAAUCUGCAGACCAUUUACAUUUCCUGUUUGCAGCAUGCUGUGUGCAAACACUCAGUAAUUUGGAGUAUUCAAUUAUUUGUUAGGGCUCUUCCUAUUUCCAAAUGUGCUGAAUUGUCUAUUGAUGGGAUUUUCAGAUCUUUUCAUGAGAACUGGAAAUGUAGCUGGGUGGCACCUACCUAGGUUGCUACGUAGUGAGUAGACUUUCUCUUGGGUAUAGUAAGCCUCAGACAGCUUUCACUUUUAUCUACUUUACUUGUGGAAAUAAAACAGUCAUUUUGUUCUGAAAGAAUAAGAUAGCUUUCUGUAGAGAAGGAAUUCCUACCUCUAAAAGCUGCCUUGAGAACUCAGAACUGGCAGUUUUCUGAGGUGAUUUUUAAAUUUCAGUAUUAGGGAGAGUCCAGCAUUUGCUGACACAGAUUCUACAUAACUAAUGUAUGAUAGCAAAUGCAAAACUAUUAUAAUGUGGUGUAUCUUGCGCAUACACAGGUUAGAACAAGUAGACUCUGGCAGCAGAUCUCCAGAGACCCAAGUUUAGGUUCUCAUAGUGUAUUUGAAGUA
This is a long non-coding RNA of Homo sapiens (human), 3223 nucleotides long. Ensembl annotates it as OIP5 antisense RNA 1. Its record names the gene OIP5-AS1. Lineage: Eukaryota; Metazoa; Chordata; Mammalia; Primates; Hominidae. The record is from Ensembl.